This 324-nucleotide ribosomal RNA is filed under the name uncultured eukaryote. Its description in RNAcentral is "partial 18S ribosomal RNA". It matches the Rfam family "Eukaryotic small subunit ribosomal RNA", at positions 1470 to 1796 of the family's 1831-position model. The record is from RNAcentral.
CCCUUAGAUGUCCUGGGCUGCACGCGGGCUACACUGAUGUGUCCAGUAAGCACCUAACCUCUUCCGAAAGGAACGGGUAACCUUUGCAAAGCACAUCGUGAUGGGGAUAGAUUAUUGCAAUUAUUAGUCUUGAACGAGGAAUUCCUAGUAAGCACAAGUCAUCAGCUUGUGUUGAUUACGUCCCUGCCCUUUGUACACACCGCCCGUCGCUCCUACCGAUUGAAUGUUCCGGUGAGCUCUUCGGACUGCGCGGUCUGCAGUUUCUGCGUUCCGUGCGGAAAGUUGCGCAAACCUUAACAUUUAGAGGAAGGAGAAGUCGUAACA